This 253-nucleotide ribosomal RNA is filed under the name uncultured bacterium. RNAcentral describes it as "partial 16S ribosomal RNA". It matches the Rfam family "Bacterial small subunit ribosomal RNA", at positions 524 to 776 of the family's 1533-position model. The record is from RNAcentral.
UACGUAGGGUGCGAGCGUUAAUCGGAAUUACUGGGCGUAAAGGGUGCGCAGGCGGUUUGUUAAGUCAGAUGUGAAAUCCCCGGGCUCAACCUGGGCAUGGCAUUUGAGACUGGCAGGCUGGAGUGUGUCAGAGGGGGGUGGAAUUCCACGUGUAGCAGUGAAAUGCGUAGAGAUGUGGAGGAAUACCGAUGGCGAAGGCAGCCCCCUGGGAUAACACUGACGCUCAUGCACGAAAGCGUGGGGAGCAAACAGG